AAGAGGUUCGACUUGAGCGAAGCGAGAGAACGUUGCGCCAGCAACGGCCCGCAGGGUGAGCCACGCAGUGGCGAGUCAUCCUCUAUCACCGACCA
This 95-nucleotide small RNA is filed under the name Salmonella enterica. Its description in RNAcentral is "partial RtT sRNA". It matches the Rfam family "RtT RNA", at positions 34 to 130 of the family's 130-position model. From Rfam's summary of the family: This family represents a bacterial cis-regulatory element known as RtT RNA. Lineage: Bacteria; Pseudomonadati; Pseudomonadota; Gammaproteobacteria; Enterobacterales; Enterobacteriaceae. The record is from RNAcentral.